AGCACCUGUGCUAACACAUAUACAUUUGCAGAAAUCAAGGAGGAAGUCCACUGCCCCUUACUGGCUUUGUAAAGCCUCAGAAGAUAGUUCAGAUUUCAAAGAGCAUCUAAUAGCUUAUAGGCAGAGAGAGUUAAGAGCCACAAUGCCAGAUAUCUUGCAGUUGGGUGAAAAAAAAAAAAGGGGGGAGGACAUUAAUUAGCUCCUUUUACUUAUGGUAUGAUAUUUUGUUACAGAAAAUAAUAUACAUUCCCACACACUAACCAACAGGGACUAAACAACCUACUUCCACUAACUCCAAUGUACUCUGUAUGUACGCUUCUGAGUACCCUGGGAGAGCAUAGCUGGCUUUCUCCAGUAAUCCGCCCUGCUAGCAGGUGCUGCAAAUCUAGAGGCAGAUGUUAAUUGAUUCAUACUGACGGCUCUGGCAGGUUCAGCUCAUUAGCCUACCCUGACUGGAACUGCAGUCGAGUGUCUGUCUCCCUGUGCAGAGGAAUGGGGGGGAGGGAGGGUUAAGUACCCCUGGUGUGUUAAUAAGACUCUGUCCUCGAAGGCAGAGUCUUUGAAGCACCUGCUGCCUUCUUACGGCUUUGGCUUGUAGCGUGACUGGGGAAAGACUGAAAUAUGAGCAGUAUGCAGUGGGAAAGCAGGUCUGAUUACCUUGGAAGUAUGAGGGAAACAUGAUUUAUUUCAAAUUCUGUUUGGUGUCUCCCCCAUCUUUAAAAGAAGUCCAUGGUGUCAGCUACAUUACAGACUUGUGUUUUUUUGUUUGUUUGUUUUUGUUCAGACCCCAGAUUUCACAUUCAUUUUCUGGCUAUGAAUGUGAUACCUGGUGGUGAUGAAGCCUAUAUGUGAAUUCAUGCUAUGGUGCAAUCCUGUGUUAGCCUAAAUAGCCCUGUGGCAAGACUUUGGGAAUGUUACAGCUGACUUCAUUAGCUGCAACAUCGGUGGAACUAGUUCUCAAUGACCUUUAUUCACCACUGCUUAGGUAAGUAAGUACAAGGGCCAUUCCCAGCUGUUCUGUUGGGACUUAGUUUCCAAUGAAGAAUAAUAAAGAAACCUGGUAGCUGUAUGUCUGAAGUGAU
This 1082-nucleotide long non-coding RNA is filed under the name Anas platyrhynchos platyrhynchos (common mallard). Its description in RNAcentral is "lncRNA (ENSAPLG00000028043.1)". Lineage: Eukaryota; Metazoa; Chordata; Aves; Anseriformes; Anatidae. The record is from RNAcentral.